GUAGUCUCGCACAGAUGCAUAUCAAUAAGCGGAGGAAAAGAAACUAACAAGGAUUCCCCUAGUAACGGCGAGUGAAGCGGGAAGAGCUCAAAUUUGAAAUCUUAAAGGGUUUCCCUUUACGAAUUGUAGUUUAAAGAAGUGUUUUCUGUUGAGGUUUUGGUAAAAGUUCUUUGGAAUAGGACAUCAUAGAGGGUGAGAAUCCCGUAUUUGACCUUUACUUUCAACUUUGUGAUACACUUUCAGAGAGUCGGAUUGUUUGGGAAUGCAGUCCAAAAUGGGUGGUAAAUUUCAUCUAAAGCUAAAUAUUGGCGAGAGACCGAUAGCGAACAAGUACCGUGAGGGAAAGAUGAAAAGAACUUUGAAAAGAGAGUUAAACAGUACGUGAAAUUGUCAAAAGGGAAGCGUUUGACACCAGUGUUGUUUUUCUGAAAAUCAAUUAAAGAACUGUUUAUGCUAAGCUGUUUAGACUUUAUCAGCUAUCUGUUUAGUUUUGAGCUUUUCUUUAAUGCACUUUUCAGUUAACAAGUCAACAUCAAUUUCUUUUGCUGUAAAAAAGCUUGGGGAAGGUGGCUUGAGAUUCGUCUUAAGUGUUUAUAGCCUCUUGCCUAUGCAGUCGGAGAGAUUGAGGUCUGCAGCGUAGAUCCUUCGGGGCUAAAUGCAUUUGUGCUAAGUUAUAACAUUUUAUAGACAACUUGUUGACUAUGAUUUGUCUUGUAGCUUACUCGCUUAUGUUAUUUUACCUACGCUUAGGAUGUUGACAGCAGUAUAGACUGU
Molecule: ribosomal RNA, 774 nt
Filed under: uncultured Neocallimastigales
Lineage: Eukaryota; Fungi; Neocallimastigomycota; Neocallimastigomycetes; Neocallimastigales
Description: partial large subunit ribosomal RNA
Rfam family: Eukaryotic large subunit ribosomal RNA
Source: RNAcentral